RNAcentral lists this ribosomal RNA (275 nucleotides) under uncultured bacterium. RNAcentral's name for it is "partial 16S ribosomal RNA". It matches the Rfam family "Bacterial small subunit ribosomal RNA", at positions 69 to 339 of the family's 1533-position model. The record is from RNAcentral.
AUAGAGAAAGCUUGCUUUUUCUAGGCGUCGACCGGCGCACGGGUGAGUAACGCGUAUCCAACCUGCCCAUCACUUGGGGAUAACCUUGCGAAAGUAAGACUAAUGCCCAAUGACAUUUAUAGAAGGCAUCCGAAGUGAAUUAAAGAUUUAUCGGUGAUGGAUGGGGAUGCGUCUGAUUAGCUGGUUGGAGGGGUAACGGCCCACCAAGGCGACGAUCAGUAGCCGGCCUGAGAGGGUGAACGGCCACAUUGGGACUGAGACACGGCCCAAACUCC